CCUACGGGGAGCUGCAGUGAGGAAUAUUGGUCAAUGGACGAGAGUCUGAACCAGCCAAGUAGCGUGAAGGAUGACUGCCCUAUGGGUUGUAAACUUCUUUUAUAAAGGAAUAAAACGAGGCACGUGUGCCUUUUUGUAUGUACUUUAUGAAUAAGGAUCGGCUAACUCCGUGCCAGCAGCCGCGGUAAUACGGAGGAUCCGAGCGUUAUCCGGAUUUAUUGGGUUUAAAGGGAGCGUAGAUGGGUUGUUAAGUCAGUUGUGAAAGUUUGCGGCUCAACCGUAAAAUUGCAAUUGAUACUGGCAGUCUUGAGUACAGUUGAGGUAGGCGGAAUUCGUGGUGUAGCGGUGAAAUGCUUAGAUAUCACGAAGAACCCCGAUUGCGAAGGCAGCUUACUAAACUGUGACUGACAUUGAUGCUCGAAAGUGUGGGUAUCAAACAGGAUUAGAUACCCUGGUAGUC
Molecule: ribosomal RNA, 460 nt
Filed under: uncultured bacterium
Lineage: Bacteria
Description: partial 16S ribosomal RNA
Rfam family: Bacterial small subunit ribosomal RNA
Source: RNAcentral